CGUGCCUAAUACAUGCAAGUCGAACGCAUUGUGGUUGAAAUGAUAUGAAGAACUUGUUCUAGAUUUGAUUUUCAACAUUGCAAUGAGUGGCGAACGGGUGAGUAACACGUGGGAAACCUACCUCUUAGCAGGGGAUAACAUUUGGAAACAAAUGCUAAUACCGUAUAAUAAUUAAAACCGCAUGGUUUUAGUUUAAAAGAUGGUCUUGCUAUCACUAAGAGAUGGUCCCGCGGUGUAUUAGUUAGUUGGUGAGGUAAUGGCUCACCAAGACAAUGAUACAUAGCCGAGUUGAGAGACUGACCGGCCACAAUGGGACUGAGACACGGCCCAUACUCCUACGGGAGGCAGCAGUAGGGAAUCUUCCACAAUGGACGAAAGUCUGAUGGAGCAACGCCGCGUGUGUGAUGAAGGGUUUCGGCUCGUAAAACACUGUUGUAAGAGAAGAAUGACAUUGAGAGUAACUGUUCAAUGUGUGACGGUAUCUUACCAGAAAGGAACGGCUAAAUACGUG
RNAcentral lists this ribosomal RNA (511 nucleotides) under uncultured bacterium. Its description in RNAcentral is "bacterial SSU rRNA". It matches the Rfam family "Bacterial small subunit ribosomal RNA", at positions 43 to 507 of the family's 1533-position model. The record is from RNAcentral.